Long non-coding RNA from Lepidothrix coronata (blue-crowned manakin), 653 nucleotides. RefSeq lists it as uncharacterized. Lineage: Eukaryota; Metazoa; Chordata; Aves; Passeriformes; Pipridae. The transcript is spliced from 5 exons. The record is from RefSeq and is a predicted model, not a curated record.
CACAUGAGACAUGACAUAGAUAUUUCCCAUUAUACAAAUUAAGUUUUAGAUUUAGUAAGAAGAUAACUGUCCCAAGACAAACAUUCUCAUGGAUACAGUAGAGAAUUUUAAAGGUAUAUUGCUACAGUAAGGAACGAAAGGACAACUUCAGUUUGCCUCUGGUGGUCGUGUUUCCAUUCUGAAGAGAUCGACCCUUGUGUAUUUUAGGCUGGAAUUCAGCACACAGAAGACCACAGCUGUGAGCAGUCCAGCAGGUUGGAGCUGGCUCUGCUGAGAGAUUAAUGCAAAUAAAUGCACUGGUUCUCCCUGGUCAACCUUUUUACAGUUCAUCUGUUUGCACUGAAUACAAUGGUUAAAAAAAUAGACAGCUUUCUGGAUUCCUCUCCCUUCUUUCUUGUGAAAUGGAAGACACUAUCACAAGACAACCUCUAAUGGAGUCUCUGCUGAAUCCUGCCAUCAAGAGGACACUGAUUUCUGACUUCCAAAGCACUCUCUUGGAGACUUUCUUGCAUUAAAUAAUAUUUUGAGGAAAACUAGCUUUUGAAUGUCACAGUGUUGCUUAUUAGUGGUUGAUAGGUGUCAGUGUGCUAAUAGACACCUAGACUUCAAAAAAAAAAUCGAUAAAUCUCAGCAGCAAAGAGAAAGUUUUGCUG